UACGUAGGGUGCAAGCGUUGUCCGGAAUUAUUGGGCGUAAAGAGCUCGUAGGCGGUCUGUCGCGUCGGCUGUGAAACCUUGGGGCUCAACCCCAAGCCUGCAGUCGAUACGGGCAGACUAGAGUGCGGUAGGGGAGACUGGAAUUCCUGGUGUAGCGGUGAAAUGCGCAGAUAUCAGGAGGAACACCGGUGGCGAAGGCGGGUCUCUGGGCCGUAACUGACGCUGAGGAGCGAAAGCGUGGGGAGCGAACAGG
RNAcentral lists this ribosomal RNA (253 nucleotides) under uncultured bacterium. RNAcentral describes it as "partial 16S ribosomal RNA". It matches the Rfam family "Bacterial small subunit ribosomal RNA", at positions 524 to 776 of the family's 1533-position model. The record is from RNAcentral.